Molecule: ribosomal RNA, 1201 nt
Filed under: Escherichia coli
Lineage: Bacteria; Pseudomonadati; Pseudomonadota; Gammaproteobacteria; Enterobacterales; Enterobacteriaceae
Description: partial 23S ribosomal RNA
Rfam family: Bacterial large subunit ribosomal RNA
Source: RNAcentral
UUGUGAGGUUAAGCGACUAAGCGUACACGGUGGAUGCCCUGGCAGUCAGAGGCGAUGAAGGACGUGCUAAUCUGCGAUAAGCGUCGGUGAGGUGAUAUGAACCGUUAUAACCGGCGAUUUCCGAAUGGGGAAACCCAGUGUGUUUCGACACACUAUCAUUAACUGAAUCCAUAGGUUAAUGAGGCGAACCGGGGGAACUGAAACAUCUAAGUACCCCGAGGAAAAGAAAUCAACCGAGAUUCCCCCAGUAGCGGCGAGCGAACGGGGAGGAGCCCAGAGCCUGAAUCAGUGUGUGUGUUAGUGGAAGCGUCUGGAAAGGCGCGCGAUACAGGGUGACAGCCCCGUACACAAAAAUGCACAUAUUGUGAGCUCGAUGAGUAGGGCGGGACACGUGGUAUCCUGUCUGAAUAUGGGGGGACCAUCCUCCAAGGCUAAAUACUCCUGACUGACCGAUAGUGAACCAGUACCGUGAGGGAAAGGCGAAAAGAACCCCGGCGAGGGGAGUGAAAAAGAACCUGAAACCGUGUACGUACAAGCAGUGGGAGCCUCUUAAUGGGGUGACUGCGUACCUUUUGUAUAAUGGGUCAGCGACUUAUAUUCUGUAGCAAGGUUAACCGAAUAGGGGAGCCGAAGGGAAACCGAGUCUUAACUGGGCGUUAAGUUGCAGGGUAUAGACCCGAAACCCGGUGAUCUAGCCAUGGGCAGGUUGAAGGUUGGGUAACACUAACUGGAGGACCGAACCGACUAAUGUUGAAAAAUUAGCGGAUGACUUGUGGCUGGGGGUGAAAGGCCAAUCAAACCGGGAGAUAGCUGGUUCUCCCCGAAAGCUAUUUAGGUAGCGCCUCGUGAAUUCAUCUCCGGGGGUAGAGCACUGUUUCGGCAAGGGGGUCAUCCCGACUUACCAACCCGAUGCAAACUGCGAAUACCGGAGAAUGUUAUCACGGGAGACACACGGCGGGUGCUAACGUCCGUCGUGAAGAGGGAAACAACCCAGACCGCCAGCUAAGGUCCCAAAGUCAUGGUUAAGUGGGAAACGAUGUGGGAAGGCCCAGACAGCCAGGAUGUUGGCUUAGAAGCAGCCAUCAUUUAAAGAAAGCGUAAUAGCUCACUGGUCGAGUCGGCCUGCGCGGAAGAUGUAACGGGGCUAAACCAUGCACCGAAGCUGCGGCAGCGACACUAUGUGUUGUUGGGUAGGGGAGCG